This 361-nucleotide long non-coding RNA is filed under the name Olea europaea subsp. europaea. The record is from RNAcentral. Lineage: Eukaryota; Viridiplantae; Streptophyta; Magnoliopsida; Lamiales; Oleaceae.
UCCACGUAGCUGUCUGGUCUGAAAUUUUAUAGCCCGAUUUUGGAUCCAAUUCUGGAUCCAUCCCUGAGUGGUAACAAGACAUUAGUCGAGUUAUACAAAUUGCAUAAAAAAGAUUUCUUCGUGUUACCUUGGCUAGAGAGUAAGCCAAUACAGAACUUGUUACACGGGUUCCAAUAGCAACAACAUCUAGUCCUCCAUCUUCCUGGGAUACGUACUUUUCAGAACAAUUCAGCAAAGACCAUGGGAUUUUCACUUUUGCGAGGCAGUUAGAACUAAAAACAGAAAAAUGGAAUGUAAAAAUGAAGAUGAAGAUGAAGAUGAAUCAGCCUCUAAUUUUGUGUAAAAUGAGAAAACAACUUAU